AGACUUGAUUUUCUCCUUAAUGUUGACUUGAGAAUCUACCUAACUGCUGUCUGAAAUGCAACUCCACUCUGGCUCUUUUCCUACUAAGCUGCGAGCUCCUUGAAAGGUGGGCCAUGUCUGCUUCAUGUUUCCAAUCCCAGCACAUGCCUGGCACACAGUAGACAUGGUGCCAUGGAGGAAUGAAGAGGCCAGAGCCUCCCUGAGGAUAGGUUCCUGGCCAUUCUCACUCAUUUCCCUAAGGGUGGGCAGAUUGAGAUCUCCGAGGAUGAUUUGAUUCCAUUUCAGAUCGGGAUGAAGAUGAUGCAGCUCCUAUCUAUCUCUGCUGUUUUCGCCCACGAUACCUUCUCAUCUUUCUUUGGAGGGUCCCUGACAAUUUUCUUCUGGUGGCCACUGCUGAGCAGCUGACACACACAGGGACUGCUCCAUGCUGUCAACUCUUGCUUUUCGUAAGAACUUCUCCCUGGCACAUAAUAGGUCAGCAGGGUGCUGAUUUGACUGUGGAAGCCCUUCUCCAGGCCAUGCUCUGUCUCUCCAAGGAGAAAAUGCAGAGCAUGUUUGGCCCUCUGGUCCCAGCAAGUGGCAUACUGAUUUUAAGGUGAAAUUUGUUAUCCUGGCAAAUUAAGAGUACAUUGGGAGAAUGAGCUUCUCACUGAAACUGGCACAUAAAAUGAGAACUGCAGCCCCAAAUCAAUGAAAAGAUAGAAGGAAGCAACACGCUGCUUUAAAUGAGUUUUGGUCUCUAGACGUAGAGGGACUGUAAUCGCAGACUGCUAAUGGGAUUUGCAAAUGUCGUCUCAGAACCACUAUCUGCAAUCCUCAAGAAACGUGACAUGGGAGGAGUGCCAAAGGACUGGAGAUGGAUAAUAUGAGAGGAAUUUUCCAAAUGUGGAAGCAAUAAGAAUAUAUUGAACACUAGAUUGAAUUUCACUCAAUCUUUCUCUGAUGAUUCAGAGAACAAUUAGAAUUAUGCAUUGCUUCAAGGUCAUUGCACCAAAUGAAGCUUAUUGCGUACUGUAAAUGGGCAGAUGUUCACAUUAAUGCACAAACUGUUAACAGUUAACAGCUUUCUGGGCAACAGGGCUUGAUUUGUUAAUAAUCUCUGCCAGUUACUGGGCACCCCAUGUGCCAGGAGCAAUAAGUGUUUUCCUUACGUUUGCUUCUUUCAUCCUUUCUGCCACCCUGGGAGGUUGCAUUUUGAGGGCAUUGAAACUUAGAGAGAAGGAAUCGCUUCCUUCUCCACAGCUAUACAGGUGACAUGAUAAGAGGCAAGACAGCAGCACAAAUGUUAACUUAAUUUAAAGGUAAUUGAUCUUAACCUCUACUCUGUGCUGCCUAGAAACAUCCAGACUGCAUUCCAUGAGCGAGAGGCCAAAGAGAAGCCAGGAAAGGAGACAGAAAAUAAGCAAUCAUGAGAACAGGCUCCUGAGAACAGCAAUCAUGAGGCUCCUGAGACAUUCCUCACACAUUUCACCUCUAGGGCACAUUUCCCAUGUUUUUUCCUGCAGGAUAAACACAGUUUUACAUGAAAAUGGCAUGAGCUACUUUAAGUCAAGGUUCAAAAUCACGUCAUGUGAAGCAGAUUUGAUCUGAUGAAUGGGAAUCUAGGCACGUUCCCUGUUGAUGUAGUUAUGGUUUCCCGUCCUUACGGCCAAUACACAUCCUCUGAGACCAGUCUAUUAUUUAUGUUUUGUUCAUAUAAACAACCCCCCAACUUUCCUGUGUUCUGCACUAAAUUACUUAUUUUUUAGUAGCCAUGGGCCCUGGUAGGAAGCUAACAAAACCCUCAAGUCAGAUAAUUGAGGGAAGCUUAAUGAAGGGGCUAUGCACGAAGAUCCAGGCAGGGUUGAGGAAAACCAACAGGGUGAGGAUGAAGAUGCCACAGCUCCGCAGCUCACCCGCCCUAGAAGGACCAGGACCAGGAGCAGAAUCCAGAGCUUGGAGAGGACAGCUGGAGGCAAGGCUGUCUGCCCUGAGCCAGGACCUGAGCCUCCCCAGCAGGGAGUGGGCUGGAGAAUCUGUAUUCCAGCCUCACUUCCUUCCCACCUGCAGAUGCUGGCAGGGCCUCCCAACAUAAGUCACAGAGCAAGAGAGCCUGAUCGUUCCCAGGACACAGAGCAAAGUGGAGGAAGCUGCAAGAUGGAUCUGGGAGAGUGAAGAGAAGAUACCCUAGCACAAUCCCCUACUCCUCCCCCAAAAUGAAAUUAAAA
Molecule: long non-coding RNA, 2207 nt
Organism: Homo sapiens (human)
Lineage: Eukaryota; Metazoa; Chordata; Mammalia; Primates; Hominidae
Source: Ensembl